RNAcentral lists this microRNA (20 nucleotides) under Rosa chinensis. Its description in RNAcentral is "sRNA RchiOBHm_Chr2g0085885". Lineage: Eukaryota; Viridiplantae; Streptophyta; Magnoliopsida; Rosales; Rosaceae. The record is from RNAcentral. RNAcentral also lists the same sequence under 1 other name.
UGACAGAAGAGAGUGAGCUC